ACAACUACGGUGGCAGCAGUCGAGGAUCUUUGGCAAUGAGCGCAAGCUUGACCAAGCGACGCCGCGUGUGCGAUGAAGGCCUUCGGGUUGUAAAGCACUGUCGAGGGGGACGAAGCCGCAAGGUUGACCGAUCCCUGGAGGAAGCACGGGCUAAGUUCGUGCCAGCAGCCGCGGUAAGACGAACCGUGCGAACGUUGUUCGGAAUCACUGGGCUUAAAGGGCGCGUAGGCGGCUUGCCAAGUCAGUGGUGAAAUCCUGCAGCUUAACUGCAGAAGUGCCUUUGAUACUGGCGAGCUCGAGGGAGGUAGGGGUAUGUGGAACUUCUGGUGGAGCGGUGAAAUGCGUUGAUAUCAGAAGGAACGCCGGUGGCGAAAGCGACGUACUGGACCUUUUCUGACGCCGAGGCGCGAAAGCUAGGGGAGCAAACGGGAUUAGAUACCCCGGUAGUCCUAGCCCUAAACGAUGGGUACUAGGUUGUGGACUAACAUGGGUUCACAGCCGA
This 502-nucleotide ribosomal RNA is filed under the name uncultured Planctomycetota bacterium. RNAcentral describes it as "bacterial SSU rRNA". It matches the Rfam family "Bacterial small subunit ribosomal RNA", at positions 335 to 849 of the family's 1533-position model. Lineage: Bacteria; Pseudomonadati; Planctomycetota. The record is from RNAcentral.